Molecule: ribosomal RNA, 468 nt
Filed under: uncultured bacterium
Lineage: Bacteria
Description: partial 16S ribosomal RNA
Rfam family: Bacterial small subunit ribosomal RNA
Source: RNAcentral
GACGAACGCUGGCGGCGUGCUUAACACAUGCAAGUCGAACGGAAAGGCCGUGCGUUUGUGGGGUGCUCGGGUGGCGAACGGGUGAGUAACACGUGAGUAACCUACCCUUCAUUUUGGGAUAACUUCACGAAACUGGGGCUACGACCGUAUAGGAUCUGCUGCUGCAUGGUGGGCGGGGGAAAGUUGCGCCGGGUGCGGAUGGAUUAGCGGUUUACGAGCUUGUUGGUUGGGGAGUGGCUUACCAAGGCGUUGAAGGAUAGCCGACAUGGGAGGGUGGACGGGCACAUGGGGCCUGCGGGAGGCACCAGACGGCAACGGGAGACAACAGGGGGGAAUAUUGUCCAAUCGGACGAAGCGUGAUACAGAAGCGCCCCGUUCGGGAUGACGGCCUUUGGGUUGUAAACAGCUGUAGCUUGUGACGAAGCGUUAGUGACGGUAAUGGGUAAAGAAGCACCGGCUAACUACGUG